Long non-coding RNA from Erinaceus europaeus (western European hedgehog), 673 nucleotides. RefSeq lists it as uncharacterized. The transcript has 3 exons. The record is from RefSeq and is a predicted model, not a curated record. NCBI's taxonomy places the organism in Eukaryota, Metazoa, Chordata, Mammalia, Eulipotyphla, Erinaceidae.
GUACAAGUGUCAGUCUGAAAUGGGAGUGUUUACUCAUGACCUUUUUUUUAAGUCCACCCAUGUUAUGGUGUCAAUAACUAUAAAAAUGAACAUCUAAUUCUUUAUUCCACUGAUACAGAAUUUACUUCAACACCCUGACCUUGCCUUGGGAUGGGUGAAGUGUACUUCCCACGCUCAUUGUGGCUUGGUUGUAUGAGCAAUGGGUUAUUAGUAAUCAUGAAGCAAUGAGAGGCAUGAACUGGACUGGAGAGAUGGACCUGCCCACUUGCAUUUCUGCAGCCACAUAAACAAAGCACACCCUGGUCCCCAGAUGAGACGUGUAUUGCACUCCUGGACCUGUCCUGGAUGAAGCCAGGGGAGAAGACAGAAGAGACCAUCUCGGCUGAUUUACAAGAGAAACCACCAGAUCCCAGAAGCUACUACAAUCCCAUCCUAACCUUCCUGUGCAGAUGACCUUACCAACGUGUCCCAGAAUCCCAGAGACCUACCCCACUAGGGAAAGGCAGAAACAUGAUUAUGUGUCCAGACUUGAGGAACCCAGCAGGGGAUCCUGAGGCACCAGGCUUUCCCUUGGUAGAAAACAAGAGGAGCAAGUUAACUUCAUCAUGAUGGGUCAAAAGGCAUGUGUGUUUAUCUAACCCCAAUGUUCUUUCCUUCUAAAUCACCUUUCCUA